RNAcentral lists this long non-coding RNA (318 nucleotides) under Astyanax mexicanus (Mexican tetra). RNAcentral's name for it is "lncRNA (ENSAMXG00005013737.1)". The record is from RNAcentral. Lineage: Eukaryota; Metazoa; Chordata; Actinopteri; Characiformes; Acestrorhamphidae.
GGAAUGAGUGGAUUUGAUGGCAGACAGCCAGGCGCGCGCUAGUUACCAUAACUCGAUUACAGGAUUACAGCUUUUCACCACCCCCCCACAUCUAUCAGGAUGGACUACCCCAGCUGUUGUGCCAUUUGAGGAUUCCCUUCCGUUCUUGGCUGUUGCCUUAAUGCUCAGAGGAAUUUCCAGUUGUUUGUUUAAUUCUUAAACACUUCCCUUCCUCCCUGCGAGUGUGAAAGUUGCCCGGAUCCAGCUGAGCCGCCUGGCAGGCUUUCAAACAGGCCAGCGGUGGAGAGGAGAGCCUGCUGUCAGGGCCGAGCAUUACGG